GAAUCUCCUCUUUUGCCUUGGACCUGCUUGCAUGGGGAAUUGUGACAGAUUACUGGGCCCAUCACCUAGUAGAUGUUACUGUCUAUUUUUUACCUGGAUCCUGCCUACAGAAAGGAUUGUGACAAAUCAGUGGGCCAAGCAUCCCGGUGACGUGGCUCUUCUGUCUUAGCAAUUCCUAUAGUUGGAAUAGUGACAUAAACCUGGGUCAAGCAUCUGGGUAAUGUAACUCUUCUUUCUGGACACUUUUCUCAGAGAACAUUGUGAUAUAUCUUUGUGCCCAUCACCUAGGUCAUGUGACUCUCCUUUUUUUCCUGGGCUCUGUCCACAGGGUAAUUUGUGACAUACUGCUGGACCCAGCACCCAGGUCAUUUGACUCUCCUGCCUUGGCCCUUCCCACAGAGGGCAUUGUGACAUUGAGUGGGCUCAGCAGCUAGGUGAUACGACUUUCCUGCCAGGACUCUUCCAACAGAAGGGACAUUGACCUACUCAGGCUCAGUAUUCAGGUGAUGUGGCUUUCCUUCCUAGUCCCUGCUUGCAGGUGGUAUUGUGACAUAUAAUUGGGUCCAGUUCAUAGGCAUGCUGAUGACUAUCAUACAUGGACACAACCAAUAGAAGAGAUUUUGACUCUUUUAGCUGGAUUUAUGACAAUGUAUAAUGUCUUCAGCCUCCUGCUUCCGCCAAUAGAUGAAAAAAGAUUCAAGGAAGACACAUUUGCUUUUUAUUCACUCAUCACUUCCCAUCACUAUGCUGACCAGAGUCAAUGUGAGCAGAGUUGAGAAUAGCAGUUUUCUGGCAGGAGAGCCACUUCUCAGCAAAAAAUGACACACUCAAAGUAUAAAUCUUUCAUGGAAGGCUCACAUAUUUUCAGCAAAUUAAGCAUAUGCAUGAAUAAAAUUCUUGUGGUGAAAUAAAGAUUCAUUUUAUUGAUUCCUAUUGAGCUCAGGUAAUAUUGGAUGAAAAGCAAAAAAAUUAUUUGAAAUAGAAAUAUUGUGAAUAAAG
Molecule: long non-coding RNA, 999 nt
Filed under: Homo sapiens (human)
Lineage: Eukaryota; Metazoa; Chordata; Mammalia; Primates; Hominidae
Description: HSALNT0340965
Source: RNAcentral